Molecule: transfer RNA, 75 nt
Filed under: Candidatus Uhrbacteria bacterium
Lineage: Bacteria; Candidatus Uhriibacteriota
Description: tRNA-Trp
Rfam family: tRNA
About the family: Transfer RNA (tRNA) molecules are approximately 80 nucleotides in length.
Source: RNAcentral
AGGGACGUAGUGAAAUGGCUAUCACAAAUCUCUCCAAAAGAUUUAUUCAGAGUUCGAAUCUCUGCGUCCCUGCCA